GUGGGGACGGGACAGGUCGUUUGGGUUGAGGAGAGACUUGGUUGUUCGGCCGGGCGUGUUGCGCCGCAGCUGCCUUCGGAAAGGUCCUCGGCAAGGCGCAUCCCCUGCACCGUCAUUUACGAGAACGAGGUGGUAGCCGCAGCUUUUCUCCGUGAGCGGUUUACCCCGGCCCGACCCGGUUCCUUUGCUGUUCCCUUUGUCUUCCUUUCCUGUUCCCCUCCCCCCGCGCUCGCAAGCACCCCGAGCCGAGGUCCGGUUGCGCGGUGUUCGGGAGCGCGGCAGGGCGGGUGGCGUCGUUGCUGCUGUGCCUCGCGUCCUAUAACCUUUCACCCCAACUCCGAUGCUUUUCCUAGUCAUGCCGAAGGAGCCGAUUAUGAGGUUAUCUGAAGCAGAAGAUUGUGGUGAUUCUCUUCUUGGUCCUUUAAUGAUCAUUGUCGAGAAGCGUGCUGCUC
Calypte anna (Anna's hummingbird) is the source of this 452-nucleotide long non-coding RNA. RefSeq lists it as uncharacterized. The transcript has 3 exons. The record is from RefSeq and is a predicted model, not a curated record. NCBI's taxonomy places the organism in Eukaryota, Metazoa, Chordata, Aves, Apodiformes, Trochilidae.